UAAGAAUUUAAAAGUCGAACAGACUUAUUUACCAAGAAUACUGCUUCUCAAAAUUUUCUUAAUUCAACAUCGAGGUCGCAAAAUUUAAUAUAGAUAUGAACUCCCCAUUAAAAUUACGCUGUUAUCCCUUAGGUAACUUAAUCUUAAUAUCCUGAAUAAGGAUCAUAAUCUACAUAAAUAUAUGAAUUUUUAAACUAAAGUUUAUAUUUAGUUACUACCCCAGCAAAAAAGAAACCUGGUUAUAGGAAAAUUUAACUAAUAAAAUUUAAUUAUAAAGAUUUUAAUAAAGUUCUACAGGGUCUUAUCGUCCCAAUAAUUUACUAAAGCAUUUUGACUUUAAAUUUAAAUUUUAACAUUCAAAAAAAUAAAAUAUAAUUCUCAUUCAUCCAUUCAUACAAGCUUUCAAUUAAAAAACUAAUUACUAUGCUACCUUUGCACAGUCAAGAUACUGCAGCCAUUUAGAAGAUUUACCAUAGGGCAGAAGAUACUUUCUAUAAAAACA
Molecule: ribosomal RNA, 502 nt
Filed under: Nesophrosyne sp. 173 GMB-2012
Lineage: Eukaryota; Metazoa; Arthropoda; Insecta; Hemiptera; Cicadellidae
Description: partial 16S ribosomal RNA
Source: RNAcentral